GAUGAACAAAGGCAACUCCGCCGAAAGGCGGAAGACGCAAAGCCACCGGUCUAAACCGCUCACGAAAGCGGCAUGACAGCGGGGACGCUCAU
This 92-nucleotide non-coding RNA is filed under the name Paenibacillus sp. RNAcentral's name for it is "c-di-GMP sequence". It matches the Rfam family "c-di-GMP-I riboswitch aptamer". From Rfam's summary of the family: GEMM was predicted in a large-scale screen for bacterial structured RNA regulatory elements. Genes associated with GEMM are involved in a diverse array of functions, including chemotaxis regulation, signal transduction, secretion and chitin. RNAcentral also lists the same sequence under 1 other name. Lineage: Bacteria; Bacillati; Bacillota; Bacilli; Caryophanales; Paenibacillaceae. The record is from RNAcentral.